UCAAGAAACUUCCACAAUGGGCGAAAGCCUGAUGGAGCGACGUCGCGUGAUGGACGAAGUGCUUCGGCACGUAAACAUCUUUUAUGUGGGAUGAAAUUAUUGACAGUACCACAUGAAUAAGGGGCUCCUAACUCUGUGCCAGCAGGAGCGGUAAUACAGAGGCCCCAAGCGUUAUCCGGAAUCACUGGGCGUAAAGGGUGUCGAGGCGGUUGUAUUAGUCGUUCGUAAAAUCUACGAGCUUAACUUGUAGGCGGCGAACGAAACGGUACGACUUGAGGUUUGGAGAGGUGCGUGGAACUCACGGUGUAGGGGUGAAAUCCGUUGAUAUCGUGGGGAACACCAAAGGCGAAGGCAGCGCACUGGCCAAAAUCUGACGCUCACACACGAAAGCUAGGGUAGCGAAGAGGAUUAGAUACCCGGGUAGUCCCUGAGCGGGCUGGCAAGGCGC
RNAcentral lists this ribosomal RNA (448 nucleotides) under uncultured bacterium. Its description in RNAcentral is "bacterial SSU rRNA". It matches the Rfam family "Bacterial small subunit ribosomal RNA", at positions 355 to 823 of the family's 1533-position model. The record is from RNAcentral.